UGGCUGAGAGCAUGGUACAGAGAAAACUCUGUGAGUAAAGGCAACAGAUGAAAGCAAGUUAAAGCUGGAGAGAGCCUGAGAGAGGAUGGAAACGACUGCCCUUGAGGUCUGGACAGAGGCUCCCGUUACACGAAAGGGCGCAUGAGUUUUAUUUGUUUUUUCACCUAAGCCAGCUUCAGUUGGGUUUGUCACUUGCCACAAAAAGGACACUGACAAAUGUAGUUUAAGAAGAGAAGCUGGAAGCAGCAAAUGCUUCGCAAAACCCAGGAACAUUUGCCCUUUCACUUGCUGGAUUCCAUGCUGUCGCUGGAGCGGGAGCCUCUCCAGUCCUGCCCAGCUGAGUCAUCACUGCUGACGCCAGUGGAGGAUCUGGCAGGAGCCCUCUGCUCCUCAUUUGGGCGCCCUCAGGGACGCACGCCCAGGGGUGUUCUGGGAAAUUUAGCAGGGAAGGCUUCAAUGGAAAAUUGAAGAAUAUGAAUGAAUAUAGCAAAUUUCAGCAGAGAGAUCGAAAGGACCACAGAGGAUGAAAUGAUGAAAUGCUCAUGCAAGAGAAAAAUCUCAACAAAGGAGCUACAGAAUGCUUUCCCCAGACUGUCUGUCUGACACCAGAUUUGACAACACUUUGUAAAUAACCAGGAGCCACAGUAGAAAUAUUCUAGGGAAUGGGAAUCACUGUCUCCUGAGGUAACAAAGAAAUAUAGAAAGCCAACAAAAUGUUUAGAAUUAUAAUCAUGAUAAUAAUGAUAGCUAGCAUUUAUUGAGUACUUGCUGUGUUCCAGCCAGGCUUGGUACUAACCUCUGUAUAUUUAGUAACUCAUCCAUUGGCUCUAUGUGACAUGUCCUACAAUCAGUCCAAGAGUAGGAAACUGACGGUGACAGAGAUGAAAAGACUUUU
RNAcentral lists this long non-coding RNA (895 nucleotides) under Homo sapiens (human). RNAcentral describes it as "HSALNT0371810". Lineage: Eukaryota; Metazoa; Chordata; Mammalia; Primates; Hominidae. The record is from RNAcentral.